Molecule: ribosomal RNA, 378 nt
Filed under: uncultured bacterium
Lineage: Bacteria
Description: bacterial SSU rRNA
Rfam family: Bacterial small subunit ribosomal RNA
Source: RNAcentral
GACGAACGCUGGCGGCGUGCUUAACACAUGCAAGUGGAGCGACGAACCGGGGGCUUGCCCCGGGGCAGAGCCGCGAACGGGUGAGUAACACGUGGGUAACCCACCCCGAUGACCGGGACAACCCGAGGAAACUCGGGCUAAUACCGGAUGUGCUCCUUGACCUCGAGGUCAAGGCGUAAAGAUAGCUUCGGCCUUCGCAUCGGGACGGGCCCGCGGCCCAUUAGCUUGUUGGUGGGGUAACGGCCUACCAAGGCGACGAUGGGAGCUGGUCUGAGAGGACGAUCAGCCACACUGGGACUGAGACACGGCCCAGACUCCUACGGGAGGCAGCAGUGGGGAAUCUUGCGCAAUGCGCGAAAGCGUGACGCAGCAACGCCG